Long non-coding RNA from Anthonomus grandis grandis, 945 nucleotides. RefSeq lists it as uncharacterized. NCBI's taxonomy places the organism in Eukaryota, Metazoa, Arthropoda, Insecta, Coleoptera, Curculionidae. The transcript has 3 exons. The record is from RefSeq and is a predicted model, not a curated record.
AAUGAUAAAAAGGCUUAAUUAACUAACAAAUAAACAAUUGGACGUUGAAGACAAAAAUACUGUAAGACCCUGUUUAUUUUCUAAAGAAUUGAAAUAUUUUUCUUAGUCAUUAAGAUGAAAUUUAUCGGUCUGACCGCAAAGAGGUCCAGGAUAUUUACAAAACUAAAGCUAGCUCAGCGGUACCGUAAGUAACCGAAUACGGUUUACACUUAGCGUUUCCCCUCGGGAAUUAUUUUUAUGGGUUUCGAUAAAAGAGUCUGAGAUAAAUAUUUGGUUUAUAAAAUUCAUUUGAGUUUUGGUCACUAAAGAGUGAAGUUAUUUAAUAAAAACAAUAAAGGGUGUUGCGACGUGAAAUAAGCUGUGUUGGUUUGGUGUAGUGUUUUACUACAAGAAAGGGUCUACACGUCACCAUCUCUACUUUGGAGUCGCCCAAGCGCCCAGUUGUUUUACAAGACCAUCAAUCACCUGACGAACUUGAUCAUGGCUCACCUCAGUAAAAGACAAGCCCGGUCCACAACUACCUGUCAAAUAAUCGGAAGGAUUGUUAGGACCCGAGGGAAGCGACUCUUCCAGUUAAGUAGGAACAUUAAUAAAUAAUUCAUUAAAGAGGCAGGCAUUGAUUUAGCCCGGCUCGGUUUCUUUAACAUUAGAGUUAAGCGAUUUUAUUAAUUAUAGUAAAAGCUGAGAUGUCAAAAUUCUUCUUCAUGGCCUCCUAUGACACAAACAACAAUUUUUCAUCAAGUAACAUUUUGACCAUAAAACUUUUUUAAAUAUUAUGUGUGUUAUAUCGUUGUAAUUGUCUUUAAAUAGGCUUUUGUUUUUUACAGGUGUAGUUUUUUUUCGGUCUAUAUAAAAAAAAAAUUGAUGAUGAUAACUCAGAUACCAAACGUUAGAUUUAAACUAUUUAUACAUUAAAUUGUAAAGCACAAAAGUGGCAAUGAAAAA